AUGUUAUUAAUUCACAUAUAUCCUAGUAUAUUAUUUGGGAAGUACAUUUUAAAUGUAACCUUAAUUUUUGUAAUUAAUUACAUGACAAUGCCAUUAGAAAAAAU
RNAcentral lists this small RNA (104 nucleotides) under Arabidopsis thaliana (thale cress). RNAcentral describes it as "ATSL173440". The record is from RNAcentral. Lineage: Eukaryota; Viridiplantae; Streptophyta; Magnoliopsida; Brassicales; Brassicaceae.